AAGUCGUAACAAGGUUUCCGUAGGUGAACCUGCGGAAGGAUCAUUAAACGCAAUUGGUUAUACAUUUCACGUAUCAACUGCAUAAACCCAUUCCGAGUACCUUGCCUGUUGCUUCCAUGGGGCCUGACCUUGGUCACUCUUGAGAUGUGAAUCCCAGGAGAGUUCCCAUGGGAGGUAAUCAUUAAAUUCAUGUAUCCAAUGUCUUCUGUCUGAACUGUUUAUAACGAAUGUUAAAACUUUCAACAACGGAUCUCUUGGUUCUC
RNAcentral lists this unclassified non-coding RNA (263 nucleotides) under air metagenome. RNAcentral's name for it is "partial contains small subunit ribosomal RNA, internal transcribed spacer 1, and 5.8S ribosomal RNA". The stretch from base 1 to 46 matches the Rfam family "Eukaryotic small subunit ribosomal RNA", at positions 1786 to 1831 of the family's 1831-position model. The record is from RNAcentral.